Molecule: ribosomal RNA, 443 nt
Filed under: uncultured bacterium
Lineage: Bacteria
Description: partial 16S ribosomal RNA
Rfam family: Bacterial small subunit ribosomal RNA
Source: RNAcentral
CCUACGGGAGGCAGCAGUGGGGGAUAUUGGACAAUGGGGGAAACCCUGAUCCAGCGACGCCGCGUGAGUGAAGAAGUAUUUCGGUAUGUAAAGCUCUAUCAGCCGGGAAGAAAGAAAUGACGGUACCUGAGUAAGAAGCCCAGGCUAACGACGGGCCAGCAGCCGCGGGAAUACGGAGGGGGCAAGCGUGAUCCGGAAUUACUGGGUGUAAAGGGAGCGUAGGCGGUAAUGCAAGUUGGGCGUGAAAGGCGGGGGCCCAACCCCCGGACUGCUCUUGAAACUGUGGAACUGGAGUGCAGGAGAGGCAGGCGGAAUGCCUAGUGUAGCGGUGAAAUGCGUAGAUAUUAGGAGGAACACCAGUGGCGAAGGCGGCCUGCUGGACUGUAACUGACGUUGAGGCUCGAAAGCGUGGGGAGCAAACAGGAUUAGAUACCCUGGUAGUC